GCCUCCGUGGCUCAGUUGGUGAGAGCGGCUGGACCGGCAAUCAAGUUGGUUACAGGUUCAAGUCCUGUCGGAGGUG
Molecule: non-coding RNA, 76 nt
Organism: Leguminivora glycinivorella
Lineage: Eukaryota; Metazoa; Arthropoda; Insecta; Lepidoptera; Tortricidae
Source: the annotation of a RefSeq genome assembly